Molecule: long non-coding RNA, 2600 nt
Filed under: Vitis vinifera (wine grape)
Lineage: Eukaryota; Viridiplantae; Streptophyta; Magnoliopsida; Vitales; Vitaceae
Description: long non-coding RNA (VVIN_LNC003848)
Source: RNAcentral
AAAAUUAUCGAUGACAGUGUUCAGGAAGUAAGGCUCAUCAUGGGAAGUCUUUCUCUUGUAAGGCUUAAUUAUUCUCUAGUUGCAGCUUCGUCCAGAGCAUCAGUAACCCUUUUCUUGACAAAGAUCACCAUCCCCAUUGUUACCUCUUUCACUGCAUAUCUCAUUUAAUAAUUGGUGUCGUCAUCUUUCUGAACAAAACCAGAAAUGAUGGUAGUCCAGGAAACUACAUUGCAGAUUGGCAUUCACAAAAAUUCCUUCACAGCUUGAUCAUUAUCCCUGCACUUAGCAUACAAAUCAAUGGUGGCAGCCCCCACAAAAGAAAGUCUUCUUUUCAGUCCCAAACCAAUCAUCCUCUGUAUUCUGGCCAUAUAGGAAGCCUUUCCGAUUGUAAAUCUCGAACAGCAUCACUCAUAACCUCCAGUUCUGAACUCUCGGGGUACAGCCUCUUCAUUAAGCAUUUGUUGUUUCCUUCCCUCACUAGAAGUUUUUCUUUUAGUGCAGAUUAAUGCCAACUGUAUGAACACCACAACAAAAUGAAUCUUCAUGACUUUGGAAUUUGAUUUUUGUUCAAAUUCACCAAUCUCAGCAGAAGUUUUACUGUAUUCUUCAAAAAUCAGAUCAGCCUUAACAGUCAGUUUUCCUUGCUCAAGUAAUCAAGCAAAAUUGCCCCACAUGAAUAGAAGAUGCCACAAGUUUAGCAGUGUCAUUCUUAUUAGCACAACUUUCUCCAACAGCUGGUGGAGUUUGAAUGUGGAAGUGAAACUAAUAUAUCAGCCCCAAACAACUUACUACCAUCUGAUACACAAGGAUUUCCAUUAUCUACUGGAUAAGGAAAGUGAUGUUUACUUAAAAGAACAUAUGAAACUGAUAAAUUACAAUUACCACCGAGUCGUACCAUAUCUGGUUGCUUUGGGACAUCCGGGCAAUUAACCUUUUUCUUCCUUGUAAACUGACAAAAGGUCUCAUCCACAUUUCCAAUUGCUUUACUAUCACAGCUAUAAGAUACUUGCUGCAACCCAGUUACAUGCUCAUCGGACAUGGUAUCAAGAUUCAAAUCAAUAUAGAAACUCUACCCCACUUUACUUUAAUAGCCCUUAGUUAGACCUUCUUUAUUCAAAUUUUCACAUUCUUGAACAGCAUCAAGAGCAUCCCCUGCUUUAUUGAGUGAUCUUGCAAUAUUUAAUGAUAUGUCCUUUUGAAUGGAUUUCAAUAUGGAGCUUAAAAAGGUGUUGAUUGCGNNNNNNNNNNNNNNNNNNNNNNNNNNNNNNNNNNNNNNNNNNNNNNNNNNNNNNNNNNNNNNNNNNNNNNNNNNNNNNNNNNNNNNNNNNNNNNNNNNNNUUUGCUUGGAGAUCAUCAACAAAAGGACAAUCAAGGUAAAGUGAGCCAUCUGAUUCGUAUUCAUGUUGGUCAGAUGCUAACUUGCUGGUGUAUUCUUUCAAGCUAAGCGAGCUUGUUGGUGUGUUCUAUUGAACCGGGCGACGCUAUAUUUACUCUCAAAUUUAGAUCUUUUAACCUGAGUUCAGAAUUAGUAGCGUCAUUGGAAAGAGUAGAAGGCGACUCAUCAUCAACUGAAAAUAGUAGGGAAUGCAGACAGGAGGAAUUCCAUAGAACCUGAAGAAACCUUUCUCUAGGUUGACCCAACAAGUUGACAGGGAUAUCUCGAAUGUGUUCCUCCUUUUAAGACAUAUUCUUUAUGAGAAAACAGGCGUGAGCAGAAAGAGUAGAUUCUCUGAUCUCAACUUCAUUUCCGAUAUCAGAUAUUCGAUCCUCCAGUCAUGGUACUGUUGUUUCAACAAUUCACAAGCAAAUAACAAUACGCUAUGACACUUCAAUUGUCGAAUAACCAGUAGAUUUGCCUGAUAUUUUAUCAAUGGUGGAAUCAGGUUCCUUCUCAUGGGCAUCAGAAGCCAACUUGUUUUCUGCAACUGGUGGGAUGAACAAAGAAGCAUGCUCUCAGGUUGAGUCAGGUACAAAUCCUACUGCAUUUCCUUCCAUAGUUUCAGAAGAAAAUCUAGAAUGGGACUUUUAUACUUUGUCAACUGGUCCAUUUCAAAUGAUUCCCUUCAGAACCUUGCUUUCUCUGUUCUGUCUCCUUUUCUGUUCCGACUCAAAAUUUCAACUGUACGAUGGUGUGAUGCAUUUGAUUCUCAUCUGAAGGAAAGAAAAGAAUUUGUAUGUGAUUCUAUUCAUUUAUCAAGAACAAGCUGAUGGUCAAUCCUGAAACCCAACCAUUUUCAGAUAAUUCAAACUCUACUACAAGUUGAUCGUUCCCUUUUUCGAUUGGAAGUUAUCCUCAGAUACCUUUCAUUUUCAUGAGUAGUUUAUGCACCAAAAUUAUCGAUGACAGUGUUCAGGAAGUAAGGCUCAUCAUGGGAAGUCUUUCUCUUGUAAGGCUUAAUUAUUCUCUAGUUGCAGCUUCGUCCAGAGCAUCAGUAACCCUUUUCUUGACAAAGAUCACCAUCCCCAUUGUUACCUCUUUCACUGCAUAUCUCAUUUAAUAAUUGGUGUCGUCAUCUUUCUGAACAAAACCAGAAAUGAUGGUAGUCCAGGAAACUACAUUGCAGAUUGGCAUUCACAAAAAUUCCUUCACAGCUUGAUCA